This 495-nucleotide ribosomal RNA is filed under the name uncultured bacterium. Its description in RNAcentral is "partial 16S ribosomal RNA". It matches the Rfam family "Bacterial small subunit ribosomal RNA", at positions 28 to 507 of the family's 1533-position model. The record is from RNAcentral.
GACGAACGCUGGCGGCGUGCCUAAUACAUGCAAGUCGAACGCUGAAGGAGGAGCUUGCUCUUCUGGAUGAGUUGCGAACGGGUGAGUAACGCGUAGGUAACCUGCCUGGUAGCGGGGGAUAACUAUUGGAAACGAUAGCUAAUACCGCAUAAGAGUAGAUGUUGCAUGACAUUUACUUAAAAGUUGCACUUGCAUCACUACCAUAUGGACCUGCGUUGUAUUAGCUAGUUGGUGGGGUAACGGCUUACCAAGGCGACGAUACAUAGCCGACCUGAGAGGGUGAUAGGCCAAACUGGGACUGAGACACGGCCCAGACCACUACGGGAGGCAGCAGUAGGGAAUCUUUGGAAAAGGACGGAAGGCGGAACGAGCAACGACGCGUGAGGGAAGAAGGUUGUCGGAUCGGAAAGCUCUGUUGUAAGAGAAGGACGAGUGUGAGAGUGGAAAGUUCACACUGUGACGGUACCUGAACAGAAAGGGACGGCUAACUACGUG